This 467-nucleotide ribosomal RNA is filed under the name uncultured bacterium. RNAcentral's name for it is "partial 16S ribosomal RNA". It matches the Rfam family "Bacterial small subunit ribosomal RNA", at positions 28 to 507 of the family's 1533-position model. The record is from RNAcentral.
GACGAACGCUGGCGGCGUGCUUAACACAUGCAAGUCGAACGGAAAGGCCUCUUUCGGGGGGUACUCGAGUGGCGAACGGGUGAGUAACACGUGAGUAACCUGCCCUUGACUUUGGGAUAACUUCAGGAAACUGGGGCUAAUACCGGAUAGGAGCUCCUGCUGCAUGGUGGGGGUUGGAAAGUUUCGGCGGUUGGGGAUGGACUCGCGGCUUAUCAGCUUGUUGGUGGGGUAGUGGCUUACCAAGGCUUUGACGGGUAGCCGGCCUGAGAGGGUGACCGGCCACAUUGGGACUGAGAUACGGCCCAGACUCCUACGGGAGGCAGCAGUGGGGAAUAUUGCACAAUGGGUGGAAGCCUGAUGCAGCAACGCCGUGUGCGGGAUGACGGCCUUCGUGUUGUAAACCGCUUUCGCUCAUGACGAAGCUUUGUGUGACGGUAGUGGGUAAAGAAGCACCGGCUAACUACGUG